This 216-nucleotide ribosomal RNA is filed under the name uncultured Glomus. RNAcentral's name for it is "partial small subunit ribosomal RNA". The stretch from base 40 to 216 matches the Rfam family "Eukaryotic small subunit ribosomal RNA", at positions 686 to 864 of the family's 1831-position model. The record is from RNAcentral. Lineage: Eukaryota; Fungi; Glomeromycota; Glomeromycetes; Glomerales; Glomeraceae.
GGGUUAGUAGAUUGGUCGUGCCAUCGGUAUGUACUGGUCUUACUGAUUCCUCCUUCCUGAUGAACCGUAAUGCCAUUAAUUUGGUGUUGCGGGGAGACUGGACUGUUACUUUGAAAAAAUUAGAGUGUUUAAAGCAGGCUAACGCUUGAAUACAUUAGCAUGGAAUAAUGAAAUAGGACGUUCGAUCCUAUUUUGUUGGUUUCUAGGAUUGACGUA